This 811-nucleotide ribosomal RNA is filed under the name uncultured bacterium. Its description in RNAcentral is "bacterial SSU rRNA". It matches the Rfam family "Bacterial small subunit ribosomal RNA", at positions 45 to 846 of the family's 1533-position model. The record is from RNAcentral.
GGCUUAACACAUGCCCGUCGGGGGGAAACGACCUCGAAAGCUUGCUUUUGAUGGGCGUCGACCGGCGCACGGGUGAGUAACGCGUAUCCAACCUGCCCACCACUUGGGGAUAACCUUGCGAAAGUAAGACUAAUACCCAAUGACGUCUCUAGAGGACAUCUGAAAGGGAUUAAAGAUUUAUCGGUGAUGGAUGGGGAUGCGUCUGAUUAGCUUGUUGGCGGGGUAACGGCCCACCAAGGCGACGAUCAGUAGGGGUUCUGAGAGGAAGGUCCCCCACAUUGGAACUGAGACACGGUCCAAACUCCUACGGGAGGCAGCAGUGAGGAAUAUUGGUCAAUGGACGAGAGUCUGAACCAGCCAAGUAGCGUGCAGGAUGACGGCCCUAUGGGUUGUAAACUGCUUUUAUAAGGGAAUAAAGUGAGUCUCGUGAGACUUUUUGCAUGUACCUUAUGAAUAAGGACCGGCUAAUUCCGUGCCAGCAGCCGCGGUAGUACGGAAGGUCCGGGCGUUAUCCGGAUUUAUUGGGUUUAAAGGGAGCGUAGGCCGGAGAUUAAGCGUGUUGUGAAAUGUAGAUGCUCAACAUCUGCACUGCAGCGCGAACUGGUUUCCUUGAGUACGCACAAAGUGGGCGGAAUUCGUGGUGUAGCGGUGAAAUGCUUAGAUAUCACGAAGAACUCCGAUUGCGAAGGCAGCUCACUGGAGCGCAACUGACGCUGAAGCUCGAAAGUGCGGGUAUCGAACAGGAUUAGAUACCCUGGUAGUCCGCACGGUAAACGAUGGAUGCCCGCUGUUGGUCUGAAUAGGUCAGCGC